UAGCGACCGGCGCACGGGUGAGUAACACGUAUCCAACCUGCCGAUGACUCGGGGAUAGCCUUUCGAAAGAAAGAUUAAUACCCGAUGGCAUAGUUCUUCCGCAUGGUAGAACUAUUAAAGAAUUUCGGUCAUCGAUGGGGAGUGCGUUCCAUUAGGUUGUUGGCGGGGUAACGGCCCACCAAGCCUUCGAUGGAUAGGGGUUCUGAGAGGAAGGUCCCCCACAUUGGAACUGAGACACGGUCCAAACUCCUACGGGAGGCAGCAUG
Molecule: ribosomal RNA, 266 nt
Filed under: uncultured bacterium
Lineage: Bacteria
Description: partial 16S ribosomal RNA
Rfam family: Bacterial small subunit ribosomal RNA
Source: RNAcentral